UACGAAGGGGGCUAGCGUUGUUCGGAAUUACUGGGCGUAAAGCGCACGUAGGCGGACUACUAAGUCAGGGGUGAAAGCCCGGAGCUCAACUCCGGAACUGCCAUUGAAACUGUGAGACUUGAGGAUGAGAGAGGUGAGUGGAAUUCCCAGUGUAGAGGUGAAAUUCGUAGAUAUUGGGAAGAACACCGGUGGCGAAGGCGGCUCACUGGCUCAUUUCUGACGCUCAGGCGCGACAGCGUGGGGAUCAAACAGG
Molecule: ribosomal RNA, 253 nt
Filed under: uncultured bacterium
Lineage: Bacteria
Description: partial 16S ribosomal RNA
Rfam family: Bacterial small subunit ribosomal RNA
Source: RNAcentral